GGGCAAUGGCGGGCGCCCCUCCCCCAGCCUCGCUGCCGCCUUGCAGUUUGAUCUCAGACUGCUGUGCUAGCAAUCCGCGAGACUCCGUGGGGUAGGACCCUCCGAGCCAGGUGCGGCAUAUAAUCUCGUGGUGCGCCGUUUUUUAAGCCCGUGGGGAAAGCGCAGUGUUCUGGUGGGAGUGACCCGAUUUUCCAGGUGCCGUCCGUCACCCCUUUCUUUGACUAGGAAAGGGAACUCCCUGACCCUUGCUCUUCCCGAGUGAGGCAAUGCCUCGCCCUGCUUCGGCUCGCGCAGGGUGCGCGCACCCACUGACCUGCGCCCACUGUCUGGCACUCCCUAGUGAGAUGAACCCGGUACCUCAGAUGGAAAUGCAGAAAUCAACCAUCUUCUGUGUCGCUCACGCUGGGAGCUGUAGACCGGAGCUGUUCCUAUUUGGCCAUCUUGGCUCCUUCCUCAUCCUUAUUCAAUUCUUGAACGGUUCCACACAAAAAUAACUGAAGAUGGGCCUCCAGUCUUACGACGCCACAAAGUGCCCUGACACCACUGAACACGAAAACUCAUUGCAGAGAUGCUAUUACUGGGUGAAUGACG
RNAcentral lists this long non-coding RNA (591 nucleotides) under Homo sapiens (human). RNAcentral describes it as "HSALNT0253552". Lineage: Eukaryota; Metazoa; Chordata; Mammalia; Primates; Hominidae. The record is from RNAcentral.